UACGGGGGGGGCAAGCGUUGUUCGGAAUUACUGGGCGUAAAGGGCUCGUAGGCGGCCAACUAAGUCAGACGUGAAAUCCCUCGGCUUAACCGGGGAACUGCGUCUGAUACUGGAUGGCUUGAGUUUGGGAGAGGGAUGCGGAAUUCCAGGUGUAGCGGUGAAAUGCGUAGAUAUCUGGAGGAACACCGGUGGCGAAGGCGGCAUCCUGGACCAACACUGACGCUGAUGAGCGAAAGCCAGGGGAGCAAACGGG
Molecule: ribosomal RNA, 253 nt
Filed under: uncultured bacterium
Lineage: Bacteria
Description: partial 16S ribosomal RNA
Rfam family: Bacterial small subunit ribosomal RNA
Source: RNAcentral